CUCCCAGCUUUAUUAAUAACUCCAAUAUCCGUUUUUACAAAGAUUAUUAUUACAAACUGAUAUGAACAAAAUACAUAAUAAAGAACCAUUAUACUAAAGGGAGCUUUCAUAGGACCAAUAGCAACCCAAGAACUAGGCCUUCAAGCAUAGCAUCUCUGAGCAUAGUAGUAGCACAUCCAUAACACAAACAAUUGGUUCCUGGUAUGUCAAAGUUCCCAAGGGCCUCAGAGACCCCGGGCAAUGCUCACACCACAAUUAGAUGUUCAACAAAAUUUAAAGGAUUGGAGAACUAGCCCCAAUGUGUUAGAGUUUGAAGGAGUUUCAUGGACCCUAUGCAGUGCUCACACUGGGGGUGGCAGGACCCUAUAUAGCUAAGACUAAAAGUUGAAAAUAAUAUAUAAAAGUAGGAUGCAGUUUUAAAAAAAAAAACCAAUUUGGAUUUUUAGAAGUGAAUAAAAAUAGGUUGUAAACAGAACAGGACCAGGAUUCAACAUUUUGAUUUAGAUUUAGUUACCAGUAGUUAAACAAAGACAGGAACACCG
Molecule: long non-coding RNA, 542 nt
Filed under: Nicotiana benthamiana
Lineage: Eukaryota; Viridiplantae; Streptophyta; Magnoliopsida; Solanales; Solanaceae
Description: long non-coding RNA (NBEN_LNC003705)
Source: RNAcentral